AUGGCGGACGAUACCACCUGCCAGCACCCUCCUUUUUUGAACAUUCCAUUAUCAAUAUUAAUCAUGAAGCAAAGGGUGCAAUAGUUCUUCAUAUCGGUUGAUUACAAAUCUUUUCGUUCCAUAUAACAGUGAUUUAAAGUGUACAAAGUGCUCUCAAUAAAUUAAAUACAUCCGCCAUAACCUCCAAUUUAUACAUUUUGGAGCAGACCAGCUUAAUUGACAUGCGAUCAAAUUUUUUAACUCAAGUGAUCCGACGAAUACCCAUGAAAAUUCAUUGGAAAUUAGGAUAACAGUGAAGACAGGGAUGUUUUCCACGUUUCACCUCUUAGGACGAUUUUGGUCAUGGAAGACUCCAAAUUUUCAGACAUAGGAAUAUGCUAGAGGGACUGAUAGUGUACGCUUAGAAAGGGCUGACUCGCCAUUUUAUGGCAUCAGCGAUCCAUCCUGAUGGAUCCAAUCCAUUGACUUCAUCCAAAGCUUCGGUAGAAGGGCCCCGGGACUACAAGAAAAGGUCUUCGAUUUAGUCAACGUCUUAUACGCAUUAGGUGUCAAUACACAAGCUGAGAAGGACGAGGAGAACACCACGCAACUGAGCUACCACCAAUCAAGGACCAUUUUCUAUGUGAAGGGGUUGGCCCUUGACUCCAUCGUCAUUUACUACCCUGAGGAAUUCAACUGGCCAUUAAGAUGUCCAAUCAGUCCUUUAUAGUUGAGGCACUGUUGUUGAUUCUUUGCUUCUCAAUCAAAACCCUACGUUUCUCCAUUUUUCACCAGCAAUUAUUCGAUGUCAUGUAUAUGAGAAGUGAUUGCAGGAGAGACAACUCGGAGAAAAUUUUGGUACUUCACCGUAGCAAGGAAAUGCCAAUAUUUAUCUUCGCUUGUGACAAAAGAAAGGGAGAGCUGGAGAGUAAGACUCACCGAUGACUUAGAAAUAGAGUGACCCAGCAAUAAUACAUAAAAGUGUAGAUCUAUCAAAAUGAGCUCCUUAUUGAAAUCUAUAAAUUUCUACUUGUCGAAAAUGAUAGUCGAAUGAAAAAUGAAAAGUCAGGCAAGUGAAAAGAGAAAGUAUCAAAGAUUUCCAUCAUUGAAAUUAGGUGAUAUAUUUAAAAAAAUUAGAAAUGAGUCUCUGAAAAUUAGCAAUAAACUGCAUUCGAGAAGUCACCCCGUUGAAUUUUAUAGUCGUUCAUUUCUAAAAUUCGAGAAGAGAUUCAUCUGAAUUAAGAAUUAAUUACAGAAAAUGAGUGAGAUGUAUCUAAGAAUCAAACCUUUAUUUCCUUUUUGAUAAAUUCUAAAAAAUAUACUGAGAUCAUUGUUUCACAUUUCAUGCCUACAAAAAAGAUAUCAACCAUUUUAGUAUCUCUCACAUUCUGAGAAUAUUCAACAAAAAAUUGAGUCAUAUCAACUCAUGUCGUUUUGAUAUUUACUGAGUAUCAAAUCGUAACUAAUAAGAUACUUUCAUCGCUUGCAAAAAAAUCAGCAAUAGAAUUAUGGAAAUGAGCUCAGUAUUUCACUUCCAGUACGUAAAUAUGAAACAAAAGAGUUGAAUUAAUGCGACGAGAUAAUGAAUUAAUACUAAAAUCAAUUUUCAUAUCAUUAGAUGCUUAACAGUGUUUUGGCACUUUGGCAGUAUUCAUGGCUAAACUAAUAAAAUUCAAACUUGACGAAGUAACGACGAUUAAACUCGCUUUCUCAUGCUUCCAUUCGUCUACAAAACAUUCCUACUCAACAGCAUCACAUGGCCCGACGGAUCCAACGUACAUAAUUGCAGAACGAAUUGACUGACAUUUUAAAUAACAAUUCUUUACAAUCAUAGCUUCACUGACAUUUCAAAUAACAAUUCUAUACAAUCAUAGCUGGAAAAGUUUCAUAUAAAAAAUGUGUCUUGACAUUUGAAGGACAAGGAAAAACCUGGCCAGGUUCAGUAGAAGUGAGAGUAUCAUGAAUAGUUUUAAAAGAGAAUGUCAAAAAUCCUUUCAUAGAGGUCCUUUUCGAACAAAAAAACGUCUAUUGAUAUUUCUAUUCAACACGUCUAUUGUUAUUUAUCCCACAAAUAACCAAUUAUUCAGUUUACUUCAUAAUUCCGUGAUUCAACAUUCGUGCAUUGAAAAUUUCAUUUUUCUAUUUUUUGUUCUCUAGGUCAACGAAAUAACAUCUCGCAUCCUUCGCUAAUUGGUGCAACACCUUGGAAAUUGGCGCAGAUUAUGGUAAAAGCACUAUGAUCUAUGAGCCUGCUAUUUUUCGUGGCUUCCUUAAAGAGACCUUUCUUUAUCAGAACACUGCACUAUAUUUAUAAUAGAUAUUAGAGCCUCCUUACCAAGUGCUUGUAUCCAGCUGAGGACAUUAAAAAUCAUAAUCGCGUAAAAUUUGUGUAAAAAUGAAAUUUUAGUUUACAAAAAACUUGUCAUUGGAAAGUGGUAGAAAUUAACUCACAUGAAUAAUAAAUUGUAAUGACAACAUAUUCUCGUGGCAUUUUCACUCCAGACAUAUUCUAAUGUAAUUUCCAGCAUUACAAUGCUCUACCCCAAGGUAAUUUGAUUUACUUUGAAAGGAAAGGUGAAUGAACAAACUUUGAUUAAAAAUUGAUAUUUGCAUGGACUGAAA
Long non-coding RNA from Diachasma alloeum, 2601 nucleotides. RefSeq lists it as uncharacterized. NCBI's taxonomy places the organism in Eukaryota, Metazoa, Arthropoda, Insecta, Hymenoptera, Braconidae. The transcript has 5 exons. The record is from RefSeq and is a predicted model, not a curated record.